Molecule: long non-coding RNA, 330 nt
Organism: Hemiscyllium ocellatum (epaulette shark)
Lineage: Eukaryota; Metazoa; Chordata; Chondrichthyes; Orectolobiformes; Hemiscylliidae
Exons: 3
Source: RefSeq, a predicted model, not a curated record
GGGAGAGGGAGAGACACGGAGCUGAAUUCUCCGGCAAGUAGCUGCGAUCGGCUUCAGAGAGUGAGCUCAGAGCCGGUGUGUGGGAGCGUCGCUGGGAGAAAGGAGCGGACAGAAUUCACAAAUCUCGGAUAGAGGUACUCAUGGAGUUCCUGACUCAAUAGACUUGCCAACUGCUGGCUGGGACGAUGGUUGGUCAGCCGGAAAGACACAGUCAGGGAGGUCGGAGUCUUCAAUCAAUCCUGCUGCCAGGUACAAUGGUGAUCCUGUAAGAGACCAGUGCGGAAUGGGAUGUUAUAAAUCUCAGCUGAGGCUUGCGGCCUACCAUUACCU